CCUACGGGAGGCAGCAGUAGGGAAUAUUGGACAAUGGGUGCGAGCCUGAUCCAGCCAUGCCGCGUGCAGGAAGAAGGCCUUCUGGGUUGUAAACUGCUUUUGCCGGGGGAUAAAAGACCCAUGCGUGGGGAAUUGAAGGUACCCGGUGAAUAAGCCACGGCUAACUACGUGCCAGCAGCCGCGGUAAUACGUAGGUGACGAGCGUUGUCCGGAUUUAUUGGGUUUAAAGGGUGCGUAGGCGGCCCCGUAAGUCAGUGGUGAAAUACGGCAGCUCAACUGUCGAGGUGCCAUUGAUACUGCGGGGCUUGAGUACAGUCGAGGUAGGCGGAAUUGACGGUGUAGCGGUGAAAUGCUUAGAUAUCGUCAAGAACACCGAUAGCGAAGGCAGCUUGCUAGGCUGUAACUGACGCUGAGGCACGAAAGUGCGGGGAUCAAACAGGAUUAGAUACCCUGGUAGUCCGCACAGUAAACGAUGGUCACUCGGUGUUGGCGGUACACGGGCCAGCGCCUUAGCGAAAGCGUUAAGUGACCCACGUGGGAGUACGCCGNGAAGGUGAACGUCAAUUGAAUUGACGNNGNGNGNGCGAGCGACGACGAGGGAGAGG
Molecule: ribosomal RNA, 605 nt
Filed under: uncultured bacterium
Lineage: Bacteria
Description: bacterial SSU rRNA
Rfam family: Bacterial small subunit ribosomal RNA
Source: RNAcentral